Molecule: RNA transcript, 12279 nt
Organism: Cavia porcellus (domestic guinea pig)
Lineage: Eukaryota; Metazoa; Chordata; Mammalia; Rodentia; Caviidae
Exons: 6
Source: RefSeq, a predicted model, not a curated record
CGGGACCCGGAAGCCGCCGUCACGUGCGCGCGGGAUAAACACGGGAAGAUGGCGCCGGCCACGCUGCGCGGCGCUGCUGCGUCACAGCGAUCCUCCGCGGACCGCGGAGAGAACAAAGGCGGGGCGGCCGCCGGCGCAGUGCUUUCAGAUACGUGGCCUUCAGUGGUGUGUGUCAUGGCACCUCGAGAUGGACGGGUCACCUCUGAGUCUGCAGGUCAGGGCCACGCGCCCAGGGGCACCUCCACACCUGCCAGGAGGAGUGGUUUCCCAUGGCGACACAGCCUUAGGUGGGUGUAAUUCUUCGUCGUCCUCUUCCAUGUGGGGUCCUUCCUUGCUGGGGUGAGUUCCUGAGGUCCCCUUUUUCCUAAUUCAUUUAACAGGCUUUUUUCUCUUUUAUUUAUUUAUUUAUUUAUUUAUUUAGAGACAGGGUCUCACUAUGUAGCCCAUCCUGGUCUUGAAAUCACUGUGAUCCUUCUGCCUCAAGCCUCCCGAGUGCUGGGUUGUGGAAUUAUACAGCAGUAUAAUUCUUAAAAGAAAAAUACAUAGAUUGAAGAAGAGAUGUUUUAGGUAGAUUUUGCUUUAUAAAAAAAUUAUAAUAAUUCCCAGAAGAAACAAAACUGCAUUUUUAAGCACGUGUUUGUAAACUGCCAUUUAACUUUUCCUCCCUGGAGAGUGCUUGCAGGUCAGCCCGAGAGAAAGUUCCUUUAAAAGCUCGCCGGUGAGGCUGUGCUUUUCACUGUGCACCCUGAGCAGCCCAGACCGUCUGUCGUGGGGAGCCUUGUAAGGGUCCCUGGAUCCCCCAAGAGGACGGUGGGGCGCCGCUCGGGCUCCAGCAGGCACGGCCAGUGAGGCUGCCAUCGGCUCUCCUCACAGAUGUCGGUGUGGCCACCAGCAGGAGCAGGAGUACAUCCCCAGCGUCCAGCAGGGCCACGAGGUGUGUCCUAACCCUCCUGUCCAUCCGUCCAUCCAUCCACCUAUCCAUCCAUCCACAGGAGCUGUGGGCCAAAUACCAGCCGGGAGACUCGGGGGUCGGUUGGUUUCCCUUCCUCUCUCAGUCAAGUGGGGAGGAGGUGGAAGCCACUGCUGGCCCUCAGGAGAGGCUGGUGAGUGAGUCAUCCUUCCGCAGGAAGUCCUGGGGCCGGCAGGUGACAGCGGCACUGGUGUGAUGCCAAGCCCUGGUCCACUCCCUCCCCUCCCGUCCCAAGGAGGUGGUGCCCUGUGGUCCUCCUGGUAGGGAGCUCCCACAUGCAUGAGGAUCCUGGGAGGGGUCAAGCGGGAACCUGAACCACAGAGCUGCUUCCUCCCCCAACACACAGAAAAACCACGCAAGGGCCCUGGUGACCCACGUCUGUCAUCCCAGCAUGCAGGAGGCUGAGGCAGGAGGAUCUCUGUGAGUUUGAGGUGGGCCUGGGCUCCAUAGGGAGUUCUAAGCCAGCCUGGGCUGAGUGUAAGACCCUGCCUCGAACAAACAGGCUGCGCAGAAACCCGACUGGUGAGCUCACCGGCCUUUCCUGUUUCAGCCUCCCGCCCACCAAGGAAGAGGAAGAAGAGGAGGAGCGCGCCGUCCUGCCGGCUGCCCUGGCUCAGUUAUCACAGUGCUGAUGCUGUGUGCUCCAAAGGUACAGUACUGUGAUAACUGAAGGAUGGCAGCCACCUCGCGGCCACGCGCCCGGAGCCCACAAGGGAGGAGGGCCGACGAAGACUGCUGUGGAGGGGGCCUGCACCCUGAAACCCAAGCACCCUCCUGGCCUGAGACAGGGUUGUUCCAGGGCUUGGCCUUGGUUUGUUUCUCACCGUGCAGUUCACGCUGGGCUAGAACUCAUGAUGGAGCCUGGCUGGCCUCGGAGCGGGGUGACCCUCCUGCCUCAGCCUCCCCAAUGCUGGAGUUGAACCAGCCCUGUGCCGUCUUGUUUUGUAACAUGUCCAAGGUGGUUCAUUGGCAGUGUGAAGGUGACAGUGCCAGGCUAACACUGGAGGACCAGGAAGCCUCGGGUGUUCAGGGGUCAACAUAGGGAGGUACAAGUGUGCGUAAGGGGGCUGGGUGUGGUGGUGCACACCUGUGAUUCCAGCACUCGGGAGGCUGAAGAAGCAGGGUCGCUGUGAGUGUGAGGCCAGCCCGGACUACAAAGUGAUCACAAGGGCAGCGUGGGCUAAAAAGCCAGACUGCAGCUCACAGUGAGAAUUAGGCUUCCGGAAGUGUGUGCUGCAGUGAAAGUGUGCACCAUGAGCUGUACACACCUGCACUUGUCCCUGUGCUCCCAGCUCCCCCGGUGUAGCGAGGAGAAAAGCCUCUGCAGUGACCGGUGAUGAUAUCUCAGGGUUAAAUUCGUCUCCGGGAGCGGCUGUCCUGUCCCCCGAGAUGGUUACAGUCAGUCUGAUUCCAAAGGUGUUUACUGCUACUGCUGCUGCUGUCCCUUUUAUGUGAAAAUAAAGUGUAAAAUUGUUCUUGUCACUAAAGAAGAACCACCCUGGUGGUGCACACUCAUAAUCUCAGCACUUGGGAGGCUGAGGCAGGAGGAUCGCUGUGAGUUCUAGGUCAGCCCAGGCUGCAUACCUAGACUCUAUCUCAAAACAACAAAAAACAACCCACACUCAGUGGGUCCUGUCCUUCUCCAGCCUGGGUCUUGGGUCCCUCACCAGAACCCACACAUGAAUGCAGGGCCUGGGCUCAGGUAAGUGGGAAUGGGUAGAGGGGACCUCGCUCUCCCCUGCAGCACCUCCUCUUGGUGGAUCGAGCUCCAAAGCCGUGACACAGGCUGCGGGUGUUCACAUGCCUGUGCUCAUGCCUGGCCCAGGGCAGCCCAGGCAUCCCCUGAGCACAAACAGGUGAGCAAGGUGUGACACAGGAAGGUGGUAGAGUAUUACUCAGCCAUGAAAAAGUGGCAGUUCCUCAGAGCAGCAUGGUGAGCCUCUCAGGUGCCCUGUGGAUAAAAGAACCCAGACUCAGCGAGGACCCAUGUGUCCCCACCGGAGCCUCCAGAGCCCCUCAGGCAGCAUGGGUGGCCUUGGACACCAGGUGGGCGGGAAUCAGGGUCACGUGGGCCCAGACUUUGGUUGGGGGAUGAUGGGUACCUGGAGGUGGGUGGCGAAGCUUGUCCAGUGGUGGGAAGGGACUCAGAUGCUGCAGAUUUUAUGCCUGUUUCACCACAAUUCAAACACCUUGUGGGCCGGUGGCACUGCCACUUGUCACUUCUGCUCGCUUUCCAGGUGGCUGCUUCCCCAGGUGAGGGCAGCACCAUGGCCUCCCUGGCCGUCGCUGUGGUCAGUGCUGUCACCUUCCAGUCUGUGACCCUAGAUUCACACACUGCAGGGCUUGUGGGGCCAUAAAUGUCAACAUAGCAGGACCAGAGACUUAAGAGCGGCGGGAAAAGCCUGCCGGAGAUCAGAACCUGGAGUCCCCUGCAGGCUCUGCCCCUGGAAGUGACCCUGGGCAACUCCCUGACCACCACCCUAGAGCUGAGGGAGGAUGCAGUCCCAUGCACAAAUCCAUCUUGUCUACCUGACCAAGGUGGGAGGCCAGGUCCUCCUGUGGGAGAUGCACUGUCAGUCUGGACAGCAACCGUGGGAUUUGUUAAGUUUUGGAGACAGGGCCUCACUGUGUUGUCCAGGCUGGCAUAUGGCUCCCAGACACCCUCCUGCCUCAGCCUUGGAGUGCUGAGACCACAGCUUCUUGGAGCAGCUGGCCACCGUAAUGGCCACACUGAGUGAACCUGUUCCUUCUGCCUCAUUGCUUGGCGAGACUGCAAGCUUGGGAUGUUUCUGCCCAUUGGGUAGCUGAUUUUUUUUCCCCUAAAGGUUUCUUUAAAAACCAUCCUGCCACCAUGCCUGCCAGCACUCAGGAGGCUGAGACAGGAGGGUCCCUGUGAGUUUGCAGUCAGCCCAAACUAUAUAGCAAGACCCUGCCUCAAAAACAGGGGAAAGAAACCAGUGUCCUUCGCCACAGACUUGGCCUCUUCAAUCUGGGUUCAGGCCAAGCAAACUGGUCAGGAGCGUCUUUCACAAACCGGACCUAGCUCCACAGCAGCCCUGACCCAUGGAUUGUACCAGGUCACACCACAGAGGUGGCCGGCCAUCUUCCUCUCCAGUUUCGGCCUCACUGCCGCCUGCUUCACAGAUCUGCACUGCAUUCACCCGGCCUCGGUCCCCGGCUCAGAGCCCUGCAGCCGGGCUCACUGAGCUACAUGCAUGUGUUCAGUGCGGGGGAUUCCUCUCACUGGAAUGGAGGACACAGCUGAUGGGUGGGUUUGGGUUUUUUUGUGUGUAUGAGACCGCCUCACUAUGCAGUCCAAGCUGACCUCGAACUCACUGUGUAGCCCAGACUGGCCCCAAACUCCUGGCCAUCCUCCUGUCUCAGCCUCCCAAGUGCUGGGGUUAUAGGUAUGUGCCUCCACCCCAGGCCAGCUGAUGUGUGGUGCAUGCAGGCUGCUAUGGUACUUUGAUCUCUGGUGGGGCAAUGAGAAAUGAGGUGCUGAAAAGUGAAGAGGAGCCAGACCUGGUGUGGCCCUGUCAUCCAGUUACUUGGGAGGCUGAGACAGGAGAAUCUCUGGAAUUCAGGAGUUUAGGGCCAGCCUGGGAAAUACAGACCAUGACUUUAAAAAAUAAAGUCCUCAGUGGGUCCAGUUAGUAUUCGUGGUCAUUUCCAGCUACUGUCCUUGAAAGUCAAAUUACAAAAUCACUUCACAACCUGUCACUUGGAGCUUCUCUUUGCACUUUGAAACGAGGACCUGGGUCAGUCAGGCCGCUGUGGGAGGAACCUUGCACCUCCCCCAGUCCUCCCGGGACUGAAGAGCUGGGCCACUGUGGGCUCCAGGUAACAGGCUUUCAGCCACGGUGGUUCAGGCUCAGGUCUUGAGGGAAGACUCGAGUUUGCAAGUUCAGCUGGGCAUGGCAGCACAUGCUAGCAAUCCUAGCAUUUGAGAGGCUGAGGCAGGAGGAUCACCACAAGUUAAGGGCAGCCUGGGCUGCAGGGUGAGACCCUGUGUGAAAAAAAACAAACCAUAAAUAGUCCCUACUUUCCGUGGCCCAGCUUCCCAGAUGUCAUCUGGGCUGCAUUGGUGCCUUGGUCCCCACAGGAGAGAUGGACAGAGGUCACCGCCCAUCUCACUGGCCCUUAGUGCAAAUCCCACUCCUGGGCCCAGAAGCUAAGACGAGGGGUGGGUGCCUGCCUUCAUGGGAAGAGGAGAGUGACCAAGAGGCCAGGGCAUGGGCACCGAUGCUUUUUGUCUUAGUUACUUUUCUCUCCUUGCUGAGACAAAAUUCCCAAAGCCUCUCCUGUGCAGCUGCCCUGUCCGACAUUGUCCACCCUAACACGGAAGUCACAUUGCCAGUACAGGGCCAAGGGGCCCAGGGCAGCUGCUGGUGUCAGAGAAGGAAACUCAGAGGUCGUUUACUCGGCUGCUUUUCAGGUUGUGGCUCAGGUCAUUUAAGCGUGCUUGCCGGGUAUGAUGGUACAUGCCUGUCAUCCCAGCACAGAGAGGCUGAGGCAGGAUCGCUGCAAGUUCCAGGCUAAUGUAGACUCCAUAGUGAAACUUGACUCUAGUGAGACCCUGUCACACACACACACACACACACACACACACACACACAAAAAAAAAAAAAAAAAAAAAAAAAAAAAACCCAGAAAAAAUUUUUUAAGCAAUGGCAAAGUUUAAUUGAAAGUCACAGUGAAGUGUAAGAGAGACAAGCAGAGUGAGCUCGGGCUGAGUCAGGGGAAAGCAGGGUGAGGGCGACCACAGGCCACAGGCAGGCUGUGGCAGAGGAAGCCAGGGCAGCCGAAUGUAACACGUCCUAAAAACCCUUGCUCUCAUUUUGCCCAGAUGACCACCCGGUUCUCACCACCCCGGCAUCCCCUCCCUGCCAAGCAAGGACCUGCAGGGAAGUGCGCUCCAGGGCCUCAGCGGGGCGGCCAGAACCUCUGGCUCGAGGUCUGCUGCCAUGUGUGUCUGAGCAACUCUGGACCAGGAACUGGGCCGCAGCAGCCUGGCCGUUUGUGUCACCUCCUCAACUGUGGAGCUGGGGAACAGACCAUGGAUCACAGAUCUGGGGCCCAGGGUGACGCAGUCACCUGUCCACAGCAGUCGGGGUGGGGCAGGGAUGAGUGCCCGGCCGCUGUGUCCUGUUGGGCUUCUCCCUCCACACCAUUCUGAGGAGCAACAGUGUUGCUGGGUGGGGGUUAGUGAGUGAAUACUAUGUGCCAGUCUGGCAUGUGAUGGGCAGGAAAGGGGUACAGUGGCUCGUGUUCUGCUCCUCUCAGGUCCACCUUCAUAGCUGAGUGGCAGCAGAGACCCGGGCUUCGGCCCACUACCUCUACCUUGAGCCCCGAAGUUUUGAGUACAGACUUAAAAACUCUUGUAGCAAUGUGAUGGAGUAAUUCUUUUUUUAGUCUUUUUGAGACAGGGUCUCGCUAUACGGUUCAGGCUGGCCUUGAGCUUACUUUGUAGCCCAGGCUGGUCUCAAACUCACAAUAAUCCUCCUGCCUCAGCCUCCGGAGUGCUGGGAUUACAGGCAUGAGCCACUACACCCAGCAGACAGAGUAAUUUUAUGUCUGUCGAAUGUGAUAAUAAAAAUACUGGCUUCAAUUUGUUUCUCUCAAAAAUGUCCUGAACUUUUUAAUUGUAUUUUUGUAGACAGACUGAAAACAAGAACAGGCUGAUCUUUCACCGUGGGUCACAUGAGAAACCCUGGCAGGGAUGCAGCUGAGCCCACAUCCGCGCCCCUCAAUGUCUGUUAGUGCUGGUCCGGUGCUGAGGGGUCACAGCUGUCCCUGAAAGGGGCAGAUUGCUAGACCUGGCCCCUGCAGCAACAGAGGGGUGACUGCGUCCUCCACAGUACUUGGAGGACCUCCAAGCCUGGCCGAGAGUCCCUGGUGUUGGGGCUGCUGGCACCAGUGAACACCCAAAGCCCUGUUUACUCUGGAAUUUGCAAGAGUGGGUGGGGCGAGAUGAACUGGGGUUUUCCCCUCGGGACUAUAGGGGGUCUUUCCUGACACAGAGGCCCCUGUGAGAGAGUCCAGUGGCAAACAGAGGAAAUCCUCCUCUCCCAGCUUCCCAGUCUGCGUGGCCAGGGAGGAGACAGAGAUGCUGGGCCAGGUGUGCUGGCAAGGGGCAGGGCUGUCUGGGUGACCUGCUGGCUCCCUGCAGGAGAGCCCUCUUGGGGCACCUCACCCAUUGGUCUCUGGCAGGUUGCUGGAAUCUUCUGGAAUUCCCAGGACCUCAGCCAAGGAGUCGGAGGCCGAGCGCAGCAGAGCAUUAAUGAGUUGAGUGUUUCCUUAUGUUGUCCUGGUUUGUCCUCCCAUUGAGUGAGCUCGUCCAACUCCUUGCACCAUGUGACCGUGGAAUGCACCCUCCAGAGAAAUACGGCCUUGUUUUUCAUUCUGAGCACAAUGGAAAGAUUUGAAAAUUGUACCGAUGAUGCUAAUAAUAAGAGCUAGCCGUGCAUGCUGUGUGACUGCUUCACCUGGCCCUGUAUUUAUAGAUGUUGUUUUCUGUUUUGUUUUUGUGGUGCUGGGGUCAGAUCUAUGGCCUUGUGUAUGCUGAACUACAUCCAAACCCCUGCACGUUUGUCCACCUUUUUGUUUUUUAAGAGAUAAGGUCCUAGUGUAUUACCCAGGUUGGCCCCAAACUCCUGGGCUUCGUGAUCUUACUGCCUGAGCCUUCUGAGGCCCCUAGCUAUGUAUGUGUCAUGGUGGUCAGCUAUUUAUUAUUGCUGGUCAAAUGAGAGGGAAACUAAUCAAAAACAAGGUCACUCGUCCUGCCAUGGCUCAGCUCCAGCAGGCGCCUGUGUGUAUUUGGUUAUUAGGAGGUGGUGGUGCUGGGGAUUGAAUCCAAGACCUUCAUGCUGCACUAGAUCUCCAAACCACUUAUUUUUUUGUUUGAGACAGGGCAUAACUAAGUUUCCCAGCCUGACCUCAAACUAUCUGUGAUCCUCCUGCCUCAGCCUCCUGAGUGCUCAGAGUACAGGGGUGCACCACCAUGUCCAAUGAGACCCACGCUCUUAAAAAGAAUAAGAACAUACUGAGUUGAUGGCCAGCUUGAACUGCAUAACAAGAACACCAGAAAUUUAAAAAAAGAACCAAAGUUUGCAUUUCAAAAUAGAAUCAGUCUGUAAUAUUUUGAAAUUCACUUUUGUUCACUGGAGAAUUAUCCAAGCUGUGGUACAGGUUUUAUCGUUAUUAUCUAAAGCCCAGGCAUUAAAAUGUAAUUCUUACUUAAUCUGAGCUUUAAAUCUUCACUGUUUGUGUAUUCACUUGGUGAUUCUGGUCUGUACCCGGGGCUGCGCAAGGCACAGCUCUGGCCAAUUGCUGGUGUGCAGGCCUCCUCUCACCUCAGUGUGGACCUCGGUGCAGUACCAGAGCUGCUGUUCUGCUCCAUCCCAACGGAGGCUGCGUCCCCAUCCCGGGACCACUUCCAGCACCAGCAGUUGCUGGCUCAGGGUUGCAGUGGGCUCAGUCCGAGGUCGGCUGCUCUGAGUCCAGAGAUGCACUGUGCAAAGGCCCUGCGGAGGCACAGCAGCCGGGAAUCAGCGAGAGGAGGAGGAGGUGCGUACCCCACCCCAGGAGCACCCUGAGUGGAGAAGAGCUCUAAUGGCCAGCAAGGUAGAGCACUUGAGUCCCUGAGGGAGGCACAGGAAAUGGUCCCUGGGAGGCAGCGCCCCGGUUUUCCAGUGUGGACAUUGAGAAGGGUGCAUCAGGGCGCAAGGGAAUUCACUGCAUUAAGGCAGCAUUAGUGGGGGCCCCACCUCGGAAAAGCGUCUCUCCCCUGUGGCUGGCAUGGUGACACAGCAGGAUGACAAAUGUCUCAUUGUUCCCCCUGGUGCCUUAAUAUUCAGAGGAUGUCUGCUGCCACGUGCUUCUCUGUCCCCUGGUCACCUGGUCACCUCUAACUUCAGGUCACUGCUGUUUCCUAAUGCUGUCUUAGGUCAUUGGCUCAGGUUCGUGCUGGGUGUGCUGGUGCUCAGGAGGAUCACAAGUUCAAGACCAGCCUAGGCGAAGCUUAGCGACAUAAUGAGAACUUGUCUCAAAAUCUAAAAUUUAAAGAGGAGGGGCUGGGGACAUGGGUCAGUGUGAAGGCCCUGAGUCCAAACCCCAGUACCAAAGACAAAGCUAAUUGUAAGCUGAAGUGAGAUUUUCUUCCAAGGUCUGUGACGUGUGCUUACAGACCACAAUGGCCUUGUUGAAGUUUGAAUGAAGCCUAUGCAGUGUGUGUGGAAGAGGCGGGAAGUCCAGAUGGGCGUGGGCACCCACGGCUGCUUCCUGGUCACUGACCCUUAGCUCUAGUUUUCAAGGCUGAGCAUUUCUGUUAGGCCUUAUUUCAGGAAAUACAGAAUGCAAAUUGAUUUUUUUUUUUUUUUCUUUUUGAGAUAGGGUCUCCCUAUGCAGUUCAGGCUGGCAUUGAGCUCACUUUGUAGCCCAGGCUCGUCUCAAACUUGCUACGAACCUCCUGCCUCAGCCUCCCAGGUGCUGGGAUUACAGGCGUGCACCACCACGCCCAGCUGACUUUUUUCCCACUUUUUGCCUUUUCUGAUUAUAUUGAGAUGGUCACCUGCUUUUCCUUGCAUCUGUUUAGAUGUCAGAUUACUUUGACUCCAUUUUGAAUAUUCAACCAAUGUUACAUUCUUAGGAUAACUUUAGUGGUUAUAUAUAACAUCCUUUCAUGUCCCUAGGCUUGAUUUGCUAACCUUCUGUUUCAUAUUUCAUAGUUUAUAUUGAUAGGUCAAAUUAACCCGUAAUUACAUUUUGUUCUUCUGUCCGAGAGGAAUUUAAACAUCAUAUGAUGAGCUUGUGAGUUCUUCUCUGUUUAUGUUUUUAUGUGCCACUAGAAUAUUCUGCUUAUUAAAAUAAUAGUAGAAUUACUUUAAAACCUUCGAGCUGUGGUGUUUUCUCUGUGGUGUUUCCAGGAAUUAUUCAACCUAUGUAUACCUCGGUCAUAGUACUACUUUACAUUUAGUAUCACUUCAUGACUUGCUAUUUUUCCCUAGGCAACUAGCCUGUUAACAGGCUUUCUCACACACUUCGGUGUUGGACCUUAUUACGGAUUCUUUUUUCAUUUGGUACCAGGAGUUGAACUCAGGACCUUCCACUUGCCGAGCAGACACUGGGCCUCUGAGCUGUGUCCCCGGCCCUGGACACUUACCUUCUGAAGUCUACGACUUCUGGAAUAAUUCACCCCUUCACUGUUCGGAUUGGUGUUUGUGCGUUCUCUUCCUCUCCUUUCUCUUUCAUACAUCUCGAGAUUCAAAUAAGCUCUACUGAUUUUUAUUUACUGAUAAGCUCUACCGAUUAUUAUCUGAGUGUUCUCAAAGAACCAAAUGUUCACUUUCUUGGGCUUGUCAUAUGCUGUCUAAUUUCAUUCAUAUCUUUCCCUUCUUACUUAUUUUAUUCUGAGUUUUUCCUGUUUGUUUUGUUGUCUGUUUCUAAUAUCCGGAGAUGAAGUCGACUUUUUUUUCUUUUCUGAAAUAAUAUUUAGGCUAUAAAUAAACCCUCUACGCACUUUUUUGCACUUUUGAGCUAUAUGCUAAAAGUUUUUAAUAUACAGGGUUUUUUAUUACUCAGUUCACAAUUUUUUAAAUUUUAAAAUUUUAAUCAGCAUGUAUAAAUAGGACACAUUUUUAGGACUCACAGUGCAUUUUUACAUGUCUGUUGUAGUCAGGAAAAGGAUUUAACAUAGGAUACAUCAUUUACAGGAUUAUUUUAUCGUAUUCACCCAGGGUCAAAUGCAAAAGAGUGCAGGAGAUCUGUCCACCCACUAGAGACCCAGAGAAUCCAGCCAAGGGCUUGGAUCCCACAGCAAUGUCCUGCAUGAGACCAGCUGAAGACCCAGAGCCCAUGACAGUGCCUCUCAUGAGUCCAGCUGGAGGCCUGGAGCCCACGAUAAUGAUUCAUGCAAGUCUGUUUUACGAUUCUGCACUGGGAAGGAUCCAAGGGUGUAACUUUACUGGAGCUCCCUUGCUGGCCAAACUCACCAUGUUUUGAAACAUCUUGGUGGGAUCUUCACUCUUCAGUCUCAAGCUAGAUUUGGCUAAAAGCAGCCAUGCCACCACUCAACAUCCGACUGCCUGGAAAUUUCUUCUGCAAGAUCAAUUAGUCUGCCACCCUUAAUCUCAGUCUCAGGCAAAGUCUCUGCACAGAAGCAGAAUGCAUACAAACUUUCUGCCAAGCCACAACACACAUAGUUUGGAGUCUAAGAGCCAGAGCAAUACUUCUUCCCAGUGGAAACCUCCAGAGCCUGGUCUUUCCUGCCAGGAUUUCUCUCAGCCUUCUGGUCUUCUGAGCUCUAGGCAGUGUCUCCUAUCAAGUACAGUCUAAGGCAUCCCAGCCCUACUUUUUCAUCUUUCCGGACUCUUUUUCUUCCCACCAGCCAGUUCCAAAGGCUCCUGAACCACACGGUCAGGCAUAGCCACAGCAACAACCCAAAUUCUGUCUUAGUUACUUUUCUCUGCAGGCCAAGACAAAGUAGCUGAUACCCAAAGCCAAAGGGGAAAAGAGCAUUUAGCUCACAGUUUGUAGAGGUUUUACUCUAUCAUUGGCUGGCUUCUAAGACAGGGUGGCACAGCAGAGGAGAAACAAUUCAUGGUGGGCAAAAGUCAGCAAAGCAAGGCACAAGACAAGCCUCUUCCUGUCCCUUGCGUCAUGUGCAGGUUGCGGGAUUAGGGUGGUGCUAACCCAGCCCGUGGACUGACUCAGUAAUCCCUCACCCUGAACCCCAGCACUGCACCAGGAAUCAACUGCACACUCUAGAUCCAGCCACCUCCAAAAGAGACCCACUGGUGACCAAAGGAGGCUUUGGGGGGACAUUGAGACACAGCCACAACUCUUGUGAGUGCAAGUUGACCAUCUGUGCUCGGAGUUCUGGCCUUGUGAGGGCUCCCAAGGGGCCCCGGGUAGUCCUGGUCACCAGCAGCCCCACCCUGCUGCGUGACCACACCACGUGGUCACCUGCUGGGCACCAGGCUUGCUCCGGCCUUGGCUCUGAAGUCACACAGCUCUGUGAGACCUGCUUUCCACUCGAGGCCACAGGGCAAUGGCUCAUUUAGCUCCCUGAGGAACUGCCUGACAGCAGUCAAAGUAUCUCUGUCCUGAGGCUUGUUUCAAAAUGUUUUAUUAAUGUAAGAAUGUUCACUGUUUUUUAUCAUAUCUCUGGUGUAUGUCAGUUUCCAUUUUUAACUUUCAGCCUAUUUAAAUACAUACUUUUUUAUCCAGCCUGAAAAUCUUUGUCUUGUCUCCAUCUGUCUUUUGAGACAGGGACUCACUAUGUAGCCCAGGUUGGCCUUGACUCACAGCGA